GUUAAAACACUGGUUUCUUUACGAUCACCGAAGUUAAGCAACAUCGAGCCUGGUCAGUACCUAGGUGGGUGACCGCUUGGGAAUACU
Molecule: non-coding RNA, 87 nt
Organism: Acanthosepion pharaonis
Lineage: Eukaryota; Metazoa; Mollusca; Cephalopoda; Sepiida; Sepiidae
Source: the annotation of a GenBank genome assembly